Molecule: ribosomal RNA, 779 nt
Filed under: Vibrio vulnificus
Lineage: Bacteria; Pseudomonadati; Pseudomonadota; Gammaproteobacteria; Vibrionales; Vibrionaceae
Description: partial 23S ribosomal RNA
Rfam family: Bacterial large subunit ribosomal RNA
Source: RNAcentral
AGUAGGGCGGGACACGUGUUAUCCUGUCUGAAUAUGGGGGGACCAUCCUCCAAGGCUAAAUACUCCUGACUGACCGAUAGUGAACCAGUACCGUGAGGGAAAGGCGAAAAGAACCCCUGUGAGGGGAGUGAAAUAGAACCUGAAACCGUGUACGUACAAGCAGUAGGAGCACCUUCGUGGUGUGACUGCGUACCUUUUGUAUAAUGGGUCAGCGACUUAUAUUCAGUGGCAAGGUUAACCAUCUAGGGGAGCCGUAGGGAAACCGAGUCUUAACUGGGCGCCAUAGUCUCUGGAUAUAGACCCGAAACCGAGUGAUCUAGCCAUGGGCAGGUUGAAGGUUGAGUAACAUCAACUGGAGGACCGAACCGACUAAUGUUGAAAAAUUAGCGGAUGACUUGUGGCUAGGGGUGAAAGGCCAAUCAAACUCGGAGAUAGCUGGUUCUCCCCGAAAGCUAUUUAGGUAGCGCCUCGGACGAAUACUACUGGGGGUAGAGCACUGUUAAGGCUAGGGGGUCAUCCCGACUUACCAACCCUUUGCAAACUCCGAAUACCAGUAAGUACUAUCCGGGAGACACACGGCGGGUGCUAACGUCCGUCGUGGAGAGGGAAACAACCCAGACCGCCAGCUAAGGUCCCAAAUUACAGCUAAGUGGGAAACGAUGUGGGAAGGCUUAGACAGCUAGGAUGUUGGCUUAGAAGCAGCCAUCAUUUAAAGAAAGCGUAAUAGCUCACUAGUCGAGUCGGCCUGCGCGGAAGAUGUAACGGGGCUAAGUUGUAAA